This 245-nucleotide ribosomal RNA is filed under the name uncultured bacterium. RNAcentral describes it as "partial 16S ribosomal RNA". It matches the Rfam family "Bacterial small subunit ribosomal RNA", at positions 524 to 768 of the family's 1533-position model. The record is from RNAcentral.
UACGGAGGGGGCGAGCGUUAUUCGGAAUUAUUGGGCGUAAAGGGCGCGUAGGCGGCCUGAUAAGUCAAAGGUGAAAUCCCUCGGCUCAACUGAGGAAUUGCCUUUGAAACUGUCAGGCUUGAGGCCGGGAGGGGGUGGCGGAAUUCCCAGUGUAGCGGUGAAAUGCGUAGAUAUUGGGAGGAACACCAGUGGCGAAGGCGGCCACCUGGACCGGUUCUGACGCUGAUGCGCGAAAGCGUGGGGAG